GUUGAUCCGAAUCAACGGAACAGCCUGCUCGUGAAAUUAACGUGUAAGUGUCUGAGCACUCCACAGACAUGUGCACCCUUAACGUAGUUCUCGGGGAAAUUCAGCGUGACACAGAAUGUAACAAGAUUGGCUAUUUGAAUUAUAGGCACAACAGAAACAGUAAGAAA
RNAcentral lists this long non-coding RNA (167 nucleotides) under Octopus sinensis (East Asian common octopus). RNAcentral describes it as "uncharacterized LOC118764885, transcript variant X1". The record is from RNAcentral. Lineage: Eukaryota; Metazoa; Mollusca; Cephalopoda; Octopoda; Octopodidae.